RNAcentral lists this ribosomal RNA (253 nucleotides) under uncultured bacterium. RNAcentral's name for it is "partial 16S ribosomal RNA". It matches the Rfam family "Bacterial small subunit ribosomal RNA", at positions 524 to 776 of the family's 1533-position model. The record is from RNAcentral.
UACGAAGGGGGCUAGCGUUGCUCGGAUUUACUGGGCGUAAAGGGCGCGUAGGCGGACGACCAAGUUGGGGGUGAAAGCCCGGGGCUCAACCUCGGAAUUGCCUUCAAAACUGGUCGUCUUGAGUAUGAGAGAGGUGUGUGGAACUCCGAGUGUAGAGGUGAAAUUCGUAGAUAUUCGGAAGAACACCAGUGGCGAAGGCGACACACUGGCUCAUUACUGACGCUGAGGCGCGAAAGCGUGGGGAGCAAACAGG